RNAcentral lists this ribosomal RNA (440 nucleotides) under uncultured bacterium. RNAcentral's name for it is "partial 16S ribosomal RNA". It matches the Rfam family "Bacterial small subunit ribosomal RNA", at positions 338 to 795 of the family's 1533-position model. The record is from RNAcentral.
CCUACGGGAGGCAGCAGUGGGGGAUAUUGCUCAAUGGCGGGAACUCUGAUCCAGCGACGCCGCGUGAGGGAAGAAGGUUUUCGGAUUGUUAACCUCUGUCUUCGGUGACGCAACGAGCCGGUAGCCGAGGAGGAAGCCACGGCUAACUACGUGCCAGCAGCCGCGGUAAUACGUAGGUGGCAAGGGUUGUCCGGAGUUACUGGGGGUAAUGGGAGCGUGGGAGGGAAAGCAAGUUGAAUGUUUAAGGUACGGGCUCAACCUGUACAAGCGUUCAAAACUGUGUUUCUUGAGUGGAGUAGAGGUAAGCGGAAUUCCUAGUGUAGCGGUGAAAUGCGUAAAUAUGAGGAAGAACACCAGUGGCGAAGGCGGCUUACUGGGCUUUAACUGACGCUGAGGCUCGAAAGCGUGGGUAGCAAACAGGAUUAGAUACCCCUGUAGUC